This 291-nucleotide ribosomal RNA is filed under the name uncultured bacterium. RNAcentral's name for it is "partial 16S ribosomal RNA". It matches the Rfam family "Bacterial small subunit ribosomal RNA", at positions 505 to 796 of the family's 1533-position model. The record is from RNAcentral.
GUGCCAGCGCCGCGGUAAUACGGAGGGUGCAAGCGUUAAUCGGAAUUACUGGGCGUAAAGCGCGCGUAGGUGGUUUGAUAAGCGAGAUGUGAAAGCCCCGGGCUUAACCUGGGAACGGCAUUUCGAACUGUCAGGCUAGAGUAUGGUAGAGGGUAGUGGAAUUUCCUGUGUAGCGGUGAAAUGCGUAGAUAUAGGAAGGAACACCAGUGACGAAGGCGGCUACCUGGACCAAUACUGACACUGAGGUGCGAAAGCGUGGGGAGCAAACAGGAUUAGAAACCCCGGUAGUCC